UCUAUCCUACGGGGGGCAGCAGUGGGGAAUAUUGGGCAAUGGGCGCAAGCCUGACCCAGCAACGCCGCGUGAAGGAAGAAGGCUUUCGGGUUGUAAACUUCCUUUCUCAGGGACGAAGAAAGUGGCGGUACCUGAGGAAUAAGCCACGGCUAACUACGUGCCAGCAGCCGCGGUAAUACGUAGGUGGCAAGCGUUAUCCGGAUUUAUUUGGUGUAAAGGGCGUGUAGGCGGGAGCGCAA
RNAcentral lists this ribosomal RNA (239 nucleotides) under uncultured bacterium. RNAcentral's name for it is "partial 16S ribosomal RNA". It matches the Rfam family "Bacterial small subunit ribosomal RNA", at positions 333 to 586 of the family's 1533-position model. The record is from RNAcentral.